Molecule: small nucleolar RNA, 71 nt
Organism: Ailuropoda melanoleuca (giant panda)
Lineage: Eukaryota; Metazoa; Chordata; Mammalia; Carnivora; Ursidae
Source: Ensembl
AAUCUGUGAUGACCUUAUCCCGAACCUGAAUAUCUGUUGAGAAAAUUUAAUACGGAUCUGGCUUCUGAGAU